This 274-nucleotide ribosomal RNA is filed under the name uncultured bacterium. RNAcentral describes it as "partial 16S ribosomal RNA". It matches the Rfam family "Bacterial small subunit ribosomal RNA", at positions 523 to 796 of the family's 1533-position model. The record is from RNAcentral.
AUACAGAGGGUGCGAGCGUUAAUGGGAAUUACUGGGCGUAAAGCGCGCGUAGGCGGCUUGGUCAGUCGGAUGUGAAAGCCCCGGGCUUAACCUGGGAAUUGCAUUCGAUACUGCCAGGCUAGAAUGUAGUAGAGGGUAGUGGAAUUCCGGGUGUAGCGGUGAAAUGCGUAGAUAUCCGGAGGAACAUCAGUGGCGAAGGCGACUACCUGGACUAACAUUGACGCUGAGGUGCGAAAGCGUGGGGAGCAAACAGGAUUAGAAACCCUAGUAGUCC